GUGAAUCAUCGAAUUUUUGAACGCAAAUUGCACUCCCUGGUAUUCCGGAGAGCAUGCCUGUUUGAGGGUCAGUUUAAAUAAAAAUCGGUGUGGUUGCUGACUUUCGUGGUGACGCACCGGAUUUGGGUUGUAUUGCUUUCGGUUAAGUGACUUAAAAAUUUGCAUGAUUUUUUCGAAUGUAUUUAAAUGAUUUUACGUACGUUUGUGAUAUCGAAUACUUGGUGUGGUGACCAUCAUGAUUCGUGGCUAUAAUUUUUCA
RNAcentral lists this unclassified non-coding RNA (259 nucleotides) under Glomeraceae sp. RNAcentral's name for it is "partial contains 5.8S ribosomal RNA and internal transcribed spacer 2". The stretch from base 1 to 71 matches the Rfam family "5.8S ribosomal RNA", at positions 84 to 154 of the family's 154-position model. The record is from RNAcentral. Lineage: Eukaryota; Fungi; Glomeromycota; Glomeromycetes; Glomerales; Glomeraceae.